GACAACAUCGAUCUCCACUUUGUAUCAAUGCUUCUUUCGUCACUAAAAUAAAUUCUAAAUGGACUAUACGCCAGGUUUUAGAAGUACAGGGAUGAAAAGCAAAGGACCAUUAAGUGCCUGGCUGGCUGAAGAGCCCUCACGUUUUAAAGAAUCUGGAGGAAUUUCAAAAGAAGGCAUUGAAGAAUUGACUAAAACGAGGAGAGACAUGGCACUUUUCUGAAGUCUGCCCAUUUGUGGAAGAUUAUUAGAGUCAGACGUAAAGAAACUGCCACCCAGAAUUCUUCCUGUUUAAGCUUUUCCAAAUGCCUUAUUGUUAGUUUUCCAAGCAUCUCAAAAAGUUAUAGUCUCAAAAAAGUUCUUUCACAAUGGCUUGAGAAAUGUUUUCCCAAAGUCAAAUUUGAACAUCUCCCUGGGGUCAGAUACAGUGCUUGGUGAGUCUCUCCACAGUAAAUACUGAAUCAGAUAUGUUUGCGUGAAGU
Molecule: long non-coding RNA, 479 nt
Filed under: Rattus norvegicus (Norway rat)
Lineage: Eukaryota; Metazoa; Chordata; Mammalia; Rodentia; Muridae
Description: long non-coding RNA NONRATT021133
Source: RNAcentral